AUGGCGCCCUCCACCACCACCGGUGCUGUCCCAGUCCCACGAUGUCCUGUUAUCUUCAACGGACAGAACUACAGGGACUGGGUGCAGCACAUGAAGCUGCACAUGAGGGGCCAGCUGGUCUGGGAGCACCUCUCUGGUGCUCUGCCUUGUCCCCUGCUGCCCACUCCUCCAGCUGAGUUGGCCUUCCCUGUUGAUGCCGAUGAAACCAAGCAACGUGAGAUGCUAGAUGCUUUUGAAGAGGCCACUGAAGAGUAUCAGAAUCAACACCACUUAUACAAGCAAUGGACAAAUGAUGAUGCUCGAGCCUCUUCUAUCUUGGUGAACAGCAUGGAUGUUGAUCUCACCAUGGAUGUGGUGGCCCUUACCACUGCAUAUCAGAUGUGGGAGCACCUUCGCCAUCGCUAUGAGUCUACAGGGGAUGCCAUGUAUCUCUCUGUUGUUCGUCAAGAGCAACAACUACAACAGGGAGAUGCUACUGUGGAUGAUUUCUACAAGGAGAUGUCGGCGGUGUGGCGCCAAUUGGACUCUCUGGGAGCUGAUGUUUGUCGCAGAUGUCAGUGUUGUGUGCGGCAACAAGCUAAGCUGGAGGUUCGUCGCCUCUACGACUUCCUCACUCGCCUCCGGCCGGAGUUCGAGCAGAGUCGUGCUCAGCUAUUGGCACGCCAUCCUCGGCUCUCUACUCUGGAGGCCCUUGCUGAGGUGCGAUCUGAGGAGGUGCGCCUACGGAGCACGGGCUUAUUGCCAUCCUCUUCAGCAGUCCUGGCUGCCCGCGUUCCACCACCGCUGCCUGGUGUGCCCUCUUCUACACAGGUGGCAGCAACCUCCACUAGUGCAAGCAGGAUGGUCACAUGA
RNAcentral lists this ribosomal RNA (852 nucleotides) under Triticum aestivum (bread wheat). RNAcentral describes it as "partial small subunit ribosomal RNA". The record is from RNAcentral. Lineage: Eukaryota; Viridiplantae; Streptophyta; Magnoliopsida; Poales; Poaceae.